This is a non-coding RNA of Haliaeetus albicilla (white-tailed eagle), 84 nucleotides long. The record is from Rfam. NCBI's taxonomy places the organism in Eukaryota, Metazoa, Chordata, Aves, Accipitriformes, Accipitridae.
GGAACAUUCUGGGAGUUGUAGUCUUUCAAACAGAGCUUCGCACGGACAUACCUGUAUUGGAACACUACAGCUCCCUGAACUUCC